RNAcentral lists this microRNA (21 nucleotides) under Populus trichocarpa (black cottonwood). RNAcentral's name for it is "ptc-miR6426a". The record is from miRBase by way of RNAcentral. Lineage: Eukaryota; Viridiplantae; Streptophyta; Magnoliopsida; Malpighiales; Salicaceae.
GUGGAGACAUGGAAGUGAAGA